GAUGAACGCUGGCGGCGUGCCUAAUACAUGCAAGUCGAGCGAACGGACGAGAAGCUUGCUUCUCUGAUGUUAGCGGCGGACGGGUGAGUAACACGUGGAUAACCUACCUAUAAGACUGGGAUAACUUCGGGAAACCGGAGCUAAUACCGGAUAAUAUUUUGAACCGCAUGGUUCAAAAGUGAAAGACGGUCUUGCUGUCACUUAUAGAUGGAUCCGCGCUGCAUUAGCUAGUUGGUAAGGUAACGGCUUACCAAGGCAACGAUGCAUAGCCGACCUGAGAGGGUGAUCGGCCACACUGGAACUGAGACACGGUCCAGACUCCCACGGGAGGCAGCAGUAGGGAAUCUUCCGCAAUGGGCGAAAGCCUGACGGAGCAACGCCGCGUGAGUGAUGAAGGUCUUCGGAUCGUAAAACUCUGUUAUUAGGGAAGAACAUAUGUGUAAGUAACUGUGCACAUCUUGACGGUACCUAAUCAGAAAGCCACGGCUAACUACGUGCCAGCAGCCGCGGUAAUACGUAGGUGGCAAGCGUUAUCCGGAAUUAUUGGGCGUAAAGCGCGCGUAGGCGGUUUUGUAAGUCUGAUGUGAAAGCCCACGGCUCAACCGUGGAGGGUCAUUGGAAACUGGAAAACUUGAGUGCAGAAGAGGAAAGUGGAAUUCCAUGUGUAGCGGUGAAAUGCGCAGAGAUAUGGAGGAACACCAGUGGCGAAGGCGACUUUCUGGUCUGUAACUGACGCUGAUGUGCGAAAGCGUGGGGAUCAAACAGGAUUAGAUACCCUGGUAGUCCACGCCGUAAACGAUGAGUGCUAAGUGUUAGGGGGUUUCCGCCCCUUAGUGCUGCAGCUAACGCAUUAAGCACUCCGCCUGGGGAGUACGACCGCAAGGUUGAAACUCAAAGGAAUUGACGGGGACCCGCACAAGCGGUGGAGCAUGUGGUUUAAUUCGAAGCAACGCGAAGAACCUUACCAAAUCUUGACAUCCUUUGACAACUCUAGAGAUAGAGCCUUCCCCUUCGGGGGACAAAGUGACAGGUGGUGCAUGGUUGUCGUCAGCUCGUGUCGUGAGAUGUUGGGUUAAGUCCCGCAACGAGCGCAACCCUUAAGCUUAGUUGCCAUCAUUAAGUUGGGCACUCUAAGUUGACUGCCGGUGACAAACCGGAGGAAGGUGGGGAUGACGUCAAAUCAUCAUGCCCCUUAUGAUUUGGGCUACACACGUGCUACAAUGGACAAUACAAAGGGCAGCGAAACCGCGAGGUCAAGCAAAUCCCAUAAAGUUGUUCUCAGUUCGGAUUGUAGUCUGCAACUCGACUACAUGAAGCUGGAAUCGCUAGUAAUCGUAGAUCAGCAUGCUACGGUGAAUACGUUCCCGGGUCU
RNAcentral lists this ribosomal RNA (1372 nucleotides) under uncultured bacterium. RNAcentral's name for it is "bacterial SSU rRNA". It matches the Rfam family "Bacterial small subunit ribosomal RNA", at positions 28 to 1381 of the family's 1533-position model. The record is from RNAcentral.